RNAcentral lists this ribosomal RNA (484 nucleotides) under uncultured bacterium. RNAcentral describes it as "partial 16S ribosomal RNA". It matches the Rfam family "Bacterial small subunit ribosomal RNA", at positions 30 to 507 of the family's 1533-position model. The record is from RNAcentral.
AUUGAACGCUGGCGGCAGGCCUAACACAUGCAAGUCGAGCGGAUGAAGGGAGCUUGCUCCUGGAUUCAGCGGCGGACGGGUGAGUAAUGCCUAGGAAUCUGCCUGGUAGUGGGGGAUAACGUCCGGAAACGGGCGCUAAUACCGCAUACGUCCUGAGGGAGAAAGUGGGGGAUCGUCGGACCUCACGCUAUCAGAUGAGCUUAGGCCGGAUUAGCUAGUUGGUGGGGUAAAGGCCUACCAAGGCGACGAUCCGUAACUGGUCUGAGUGGAUGAUCAGUCACACUGGAACGGGGACACGGUCCAGACUCCUACGGGAGGCAGCAGUGGGGAAUAUUGGACAGUGGGCGAAAGCCUGAUCCAGCCAUGCCGCGUGUGUGAAGAAGGUCUUCGGAUUGUAAAGCACUUUUAGUUGGGAGGAAGGGCAGUAAGUUAAUACCUUGCUGUUUUGACGUUACCAACAGAAUAAGCACCGGCUAACUUCGUG